This 1477-nucleotide ribosomal RNA is filed under the name uncultured Bordetella sp. RNAcentral describes it as "partial 16S-23S ribosomal RNA intergenic spacer". It matches the Rfam family "Bacterial small subunit ribosomal RNA". The record is from RNAcentral. Lineage: Bacteria; Pseudomonadati; Pseudomonadota; Betaproteobacteria; Burkholderiales; Alcaligenaceae.
AGUUCGAUCUGGCCAGAUUGAACGCUGGCGGAUAAGCUUUACGCAUGCAAGUCGAACGGCGGCACGGACUUCGGUCUGGUGGCAGUGGCGAACGAAGGUGAGUAAUGUCGGAACGUGCCUAGUAGCGGGGGAUAACUACGCAGCGUAGCUAAUACCACAUACGCCCUUCGAAGAGGAAAGCAGGGGACCUUCGGGCCUCGCACUAGAAGCGGCCGAUAUCGGAUUAGCUAGUUGGUGGGGUGAACGGCUCUGCAAGGCGACGAUCCGUAGCUGUGGUUUUGAGAGGACGACCAACCACACUGGGCUGAGACACGGCCCAGACUCCUGCGGGAGGGCGGCGGUGGGAAUUUUUUGGACAAUGGAAACCCUGAUCCAGCCAUCCCGCGUGUGCGAUGAAGGCCUUCGGGUUGUAAAGCACUUUUGGCAGGGAAAGAAACGGCACGGGAUAAUACCCCGUGCAACUGACGAACCUGCAGAAUAAGCACCGGCUAACUACGUGCCAGCAGCCGCGGUAAUACAGGGUGCAAGCGUUAAUCGGAAUUACUGGGCGUAAAGCGUGCGCAGGCGGUUCGGAAAAGAAAGAUGUGAAAUCCCAGAGCUGCUGGAACUGCAUUUUUAACUACCGAGCUAGAGUGUGUCAGAGGGAGGUGGAAUUCCGCGAUGUAGCAGUGAAAUGCGUAGAUAUGCGGAGGAACACCGAUGGCGAGCCUCCUGGGACUUACCUGACGCUCAUGCACGAAAGCGUGGGGGAGCAAACAGGAUUAGAUGCCUGGUAGUCCACGCCCUAAACGAUGUCAGCUAGCUGUUGUUGGGGCCUUCAGACGCGAAGUACAGCGCAAUAACAACGUGGAUUGACCGCCUGGGAGAUUACGGUCGCAAGAUUAAAACUCAAAGGAAUUGACGGGGACCCGCACAAGCGGUGGAUGAUGUGGAUUAAUUCGAUGCAACGCGAAAAACCUUACCUACCCUUGACAUGUCUGGAAUCCCGAAGAUUUGGGAGUGCUCGCAAAGAAGAACCGGAACACAGGUGCUGCACUGCGCUGGUAAAAGCUCGUGUCGUGAGAUGUUGGGUUAAGUCCUGUGACGCAACCCUUCAAUCUUAGUUGCUACGAAAGGGCACUCUAAUGAGACUGCCGGUAUGAAGCCGGAGGGAAGGUGGAUGACGUCAAGUCCUCAUGGCCCUUAUGGGUAGGGCUACGUCUACAAUGGUCGGGACAGAGGGUCGCCAACCAACCCGCGAGGGAACCAAUCCCAGAAACCCGAUCAUAGUCCGGAUCGCAGUCUGCAACUCGACGCUGCGUGAAGUCAGAAUCGCUAGUAAUCGCGGAUCAGCAUGUCGCGGUGAAUACGUUCCCGGGUCUUGUACACACCGCCCGUCACCAUGGGGAGUGGGUUUUACCAGAAGUAGUUAGCCUAACCAUGGAGGGCGAUUACCACAGUAGGAUUCCAUGACUGGGGUGAAGUCGUAACAAGGUAA